Molecule: microRNA, 22 nt
Filed under: Branchiostoma floridae (Florida lancelet)
Lineage: Eukaryota; Metazoa; Chordata; Leptocardii; Amphioxiformes; Branchiostomatidae
Description: bfl-miR-4895
Source: miRBase by way of RNAcentral
UGCGAAAUUUCGCAGUGCGUUG